UAGGGCAUGAACCUGGCAUACAAUGUAGGUUUCUGUGUUUGUUAGGCAACAGCUACAUUGUCUGCUGGGUUUCAGGCUACCUGG
RNAcentral lists this microRNA precursor (84 nucleotides) under Pteropus alecto (black flying fox). RNAcentral describes it as "mir-221 microRNA precursor family". It matches the Rfam family "mir-221 microRNA precursor family". RNAcentral also lists the same sequence under 2 other names. Lineage: Eukaryota; Metazoa; Chordata; Mammalia; Chiroptera; Pteropodidae. The record is from Rfam by way of RNAcentral.